CUAAACACCGAGCUCCCGGGCCUAAGCGCGACGCGUAUGGCACGAGAGCCGUGGCGGGGUCGGCUUUCCCCGCCACCAGGGUCGCUCGAGAAAUCGGCCGGCCUCCCGAUCUUGGAAAGGCGUUUUUGGAA
This 131-nucleotide non-coding RNA is filed under the name uncultured Microbulbifer sp. RNAcentral's name for it is "Moco (molybdenum cofactor) riboswitch". It matches the Rfam family "Molybdenum/Tungsten riboswitch aptamer (Moco RNA motif)", at positions 8 to 125 of the family's 135-position model. Lineage: Bacteria; Pseudomonadati; Pseudomonadota; Gammaproteobacteria; Cellvibrionales; Microbulbiferaceae. The record is from RNAcentral.